ACCAUUCCACGGUUUCCGCGCCGCAGCUAACGCAUUAAGUGCCCCGCCUGGGGAGUACGGCCGCAAGGCUAAAACUCAAAGGAAUUGACGGGGGCCCGCACAAGCGGCGGAGCAUGCGGAUUAAUUCGAUGCAACGCGAAGAACCUUACCAAGGCUUGACAUGUUCUCGAUCGCCGUAGAGAUACGGUUUCCCCUUUGGGGCGGGUUCACAGGUGGUGCAUGGUUGUCGUCAGCUCGUGUCGUGAGAUGUUGGGUUAAGUCCCGCAACGAGCGCAACCCUCGUUCCAUGUUGCCAGCACGUCGUGGUGGGGACUCAUGGGAGACUGCCGGGGUCAACUCGGAGGAAGGUGAGGACGACGUCAAAUCAUCAUGCCCCUUAUGUCUUGGGCUUCACGCAUGCUACAAUGGCCGGUACAAUGGGUUGCGAUACUGUGAGGUGGAGCUAAUCCCAAAAAGCCGGUCUCAGUUCGGAUUGGGGUCUGCAACUCGACCCCAUGAAGUCGGAGUCGCUAGUAAUCGCAGAUCAGCAACGCUGCGGUGAAUACGUUCCCGGGCCUUGUACACACCGCCCGUCAAGUCACGAAAGUUGGUAACACCCGAAGCCGGUGGCCUAACCCUUGUGGGGGGAGCCGUCGAAGGUGGGACCAGC
The sequence is a ribosomal RNA, 649 nucleotides long. It matches the Rfam family "Bacterial small subunit ribosomal RNA", at positions 828 to 1472 of the family's 1533-position model.